This is a non-coding RNA of Pelobates cultripes (western spadefoot toad), 306 nucleotides long. Lineage: Eukaryota; Metazoa; Chordata; Amphibia; Anura; Pelobatidae. The record is from the annotation of a GenBank genome assembly.
GCUGUCUCUACUCAUGUGCCCAUCCUUUUGCAUAGGUGGCACUAAGUAUUGUUUAGGUAUCUAAACAGGAGUGGCACAGAGUUGUAAGUGUCCCCACCUUGAGGUUGUACCACUGGUGCUGGAGGGGGUAGAGUUGGCCUGGUAAAUACUUUUUGCAGUAUGGAUCUCUGGAGUUGGCAGUAACGGAGCUCCCUGUACCCCUGGCUGGGUACCUCCACCAAGAACCGCUUCCUAGCUGGAACAGGGGACAAACUGCUGUACUUCUGCCCACAGUUGCCAUGGCUUGGCUGGGGUCCUGGAACCGCC